AUCAUUAGUGCUACUUUUGUCCUAUGAAAGCAAAGGCAAGGAAAAUAGAUGAUAAACUAAUCCUCUUUUGCAACCCAGAACUCAUUGUUCAAUAUGAUUUUGAUACAAACAAGAAAAAAAAAU
Molecule: small nucleolar RNA, 123 nt
Organism: Mastomys coucha (southern multimammate mouse)
Lineage: Eukaryota; Metazoa; Chordata; Mammalia; Rodentia; Muridae
Product: small nucleolar RNA SNORA40
Exons: 1
Source: RefSeq, a predicted model, not a curated record